UACGUAGGGGGCAAGCGUUAUCCGGAUUUACUGGGUGUAAAGGGAGCGUAGAUGGCUGUGCAAGUCUGAAGUGAAAGGCAUGGGCUCAACCUGUGGACUGCUUUGGAAACUGUGCAGCUAGAGUGUCGGAGAGGUAAGUGGAAUUCCUAGUGUAGCGGUGAAAUGCGUAGAUAUUAGGAGGAACACCAGUGGCGAAGGCGGCUUACUGGACGAUGACUGACGUUGAGGCUCGAAAGCGUGGGGAGCAAACAGG
RNAcentral lists this ribosomal RNA (253 nucleotides) under Dorea formicigenerans. Its description in RNAcentral is "partial 16S ribosomal RNA". It matches the Rfam family "Bacterial small subunit ribosomal RNA", at positions 524 to 776 of the family's 1533-position model. Lineage: Bacteria; Bacillati; Bacillota; Clostridia; Lachnospirales; Lachnospiraceae. The record is from RNAcentral.